RNAcentral lists this long non-coding RNA (1221 nucleotides) under Homo sapiens (human). RNAcentral describes it as "non-protein coding NUTM2B-AS1:9". The record is from RNAcentral. Lineage: Eukaryota; Metazoa; Chordata; Mammalia; Primates; Hominidae.
GUUUCCGCGGCUCGCUAGAAGGAGUGUGGUCCACCGGAGGACUCCCUACAUUCUUCCUCCAUUACCUCACUGCCUCCGGUGGCUGCUGGGAUACCGGAGGACUCGGGUCCCGGCUCGACUCAGUCCUCCAGCCGCCCGGGGAAUACCUCUAGUUCUUCCCGGCCGCCGCCGCCGCCGCCGCCCCGCCGCUUCCUCCUCCGCCUGCCGGCCUCCUUCGCCCCGUCCCGUCCGCGCAGCGCGUCCGGCCCGCCCGCAGGCCAGCUUCUCUCGGGAGCCCCCACCCAGGCGCAUGGCUCCAUGAAGCAAGAGGAGGAGGCAGAGCGCGAGAGGUCCCGUCCGCCCCAGCCGCGUCUGGGCCAGGAUAAAAGCAAAACCAUAUUCCUGCUGCUGUCAGUUAUGAUGCACUGAGAAAACUUCAGAGACCUAAACUUUUUCCAGAGAAGAGAAGCUUUACUGGUGUUCCAGCCCUAAGAAACUUAAAUCCUCAGUGUGACACAACUCAGUCCUUCUACUGCAGCAGCUCUUUUAUAAAAGCCUCCCAAAGCUCCAAGAAGGAACAAAGAAUGUGACCCAGUAAGCUCACACCAUAAAUCUAUAUUGCAGAAACCUUUGUUCAAGAAAACGGCAGAUGCUCUGUUGAAUCCACUGGAGAUUGUUCUGAUACUAAGGACAAGUAUCAACCAUCUUUCCUGUGAAAAAUUCCCUCUCGUACUUUAGUUCUGUGGAUCCAAAAUUUAUAGCAUUCUUCUACCACCACAGGGGCUCAUAUGACAUUAACAGACAAGACACUUUUCAGAAAGACAGGCAACGUGUUGGACCUUCCGGAGCUUCUCAGAAGACAGAGGGUUUUCUUUUGAGGAUUUAAACCUCAGACACAGGGAGCUGACCUAUUCACCUUAGAAUCCUCUGGGGCACCCAUUACAGUGUCUGUACCAAGGAGGCAACAAAGAACGGCGGAACAGACUGGAGCAGAAGGACCACCCAGCAGAGCCAAGCCAAAUCACUGACCCUCAGAGGCCUGAUGUGAAUGCUUAUGGCUUCAGUCCAUUGGAUUCUGCAGUAAUCUGCCGAUCUACAGUAUUACCACAGUAAAUAACCGAUAGACCUGAAAACGAAUGCAUGCCUUGUGCCAAAAUUGCAGGAAACCUCACCAGGAGAAACAAUUUUAUAUGAGGGAAUGUACUCUCUCCUUUGCAUUUUCCCUCAAAUCUAUAUUUUUAG